AAGUCGUAACAAGGUUUCCGUAGGUGAACCUGCGGAAGGAUCAUUAACCGUGUCUGUUGAGACAUGUGAUGUGGUGUGUGACGUAUGUGGCCUACCCGGUCAUGUUUUUUAUUCUUUUACGGUUCAUCUAAUCCAACCAAUAACCAGUAAAACUGGCAGCAAUGGAUCCCUCGGUUCUC
This 179-nucleotide unclassified non-coding RNA is filed under the name fungal sp. Its description in RNAcentral is "partial internal transcribed spacer region". The stretch from base 1 to 46 matches the Rfam family "Eukaryotic small subunit ribosomal RNA", at positions 1786 to 1831 of the family's 1831-position model. Lineage: Eukaryota; Fungi. The record is from RNAcentral.